UUUUGGUGAUGAUUUUGAUGACGAGGCUGAAGGGGCAGUGGCUACCCCAUGCUGCCCGGCCCCUGCUCGCGUUUUGCGAGCGCAGGGUCAUGGCGCACGGGGUCGCCCUGUCCCGUGCUCUGAUGCCAAAGUAACGAGGCAUUUGUCUGAGAAAC
This 155-nucleotide small nucleolar RNA is filed under the name Petromyzon marinus (sea lamprey). The record is from RNAcentral. Lineage: Eukaryota; Metazoa; Chordata; Hyperoartia; Petromyzontiformes; Petromyzontidae.